Molecule: non-coding RNA, 685 nt
Organism: Rattus norvegicus (Norway rat)
Lineage: Eukaryota; Metazoa; Chordata; Mammalia; Rodentia; Muridae
Source: RefSeq, a predicted model, not a curated record
GUCUCUCUUGCCAAAGACACGAUUACAAGAACUUAAAGGUGCCAUCCCUCAUAUUCAAAAUUCCCAACCCUCAAAAUUAUUUCUAAAUUAGUUGAUAAUGGUGUUUAUUUUCUAUUAUUUUCAUGACCUAUUAUCAUAAUCACUAGCAAGAAUGUGAUUGGCACUUUUAUUACAUCUGAAGAACAUUAGCUCUAGAACAAAGACAGAUUUGAUAAUCUAAGUUUCUACUAUCUCAGCAAAGAUGGGACUCCCUCAACGACUACCUUGGGAACACAGCCCUGUCACUUGAACACCAAAAAGAACUCUCUUGACUUGAAUUCACAGACAUCUGCCUGCCUCUCCCUCCUGACUGCUAGAUUAAAGGUAUUUCAAUUACAGCAACACAAAGGGAGCCAGUACAACAGGAUGAUGGGUAACAGAAACUUGCACCACAUAGCUUUCAGGGUUCUGUCCGGUCCAUGACCAGCAUUCAAUAAAGACUUGCUGAUGAUGCAGAAGAGCAGGUUCAGCAGUUUUCACUGGUGAAAACCGCUGACUGUGAGAAGUGCUCUGUCCAUGCUGAGGAUGGGGACAGUCCAAGGGACCUCAUCAUUGGGCCAGAAUGGGUCUUCCACACUUAUGAACAAAAACUUCCCGUGACCUACUUUCCAUCUUGAAUCAAAAUAAAAAAGUCAUCUUGCACUCC